CAUGUUGUUCUUCAUCCUCCUGCUAGAGGUGAUUUGGAUCCUGGCUGCAGACGAGGGUCAACACUGGACAUAUGAGUGCCCACAUAGUCAGGACCACUGUGGCCAGCCUUUUACCCUGAGUGUGGAAACAAUACACAGUCCCCCUUCGAUAUCCGGACAGACAGUGUGACAAUUGACCCUUAGAUGACUGCUCUACAGCCCCAUGGAUAUGACCGGCCUGGCACUGAGCCUUUAGACCUGCACAAGAAUAGCUACACAGUACAACUGUCUCUGCCCUCUACCCUGUAUCUAGGUGGACUUUCCAGAAAAUAUGUAGCUACCCAGCUACACCUGCACUGGGGUCAGGAUGAUCCCCAGGGGGCUCAGAACACCAGAUCAACAGUGAAGCCACAGUUGCCGAGCUCCACAUCAUACGUUAUGGCUGUGAUUCCUGUGAUAGCUUGAGUGAGGCCGCUCAGAGGCCUCAGGGCCUGACUGUCCUGGGCAUCCUAAUUGAGGUGAAAUGCUGAGCCUUGGUGUAGGAAUCUUGGUUGGCUCUCUCUGACUUCUGCUGGCCAUUUUCUUCAUGGCUAGAAGGCUUCAGAACAAGAGGCUGGAAAAUCAGAAGAGCGUGGUCAUCACCUCAGCAUGAGCCACCACUGAGGCAUAAACUCCCUCUUAGAUACCUUGGAUAUGGAUGCCUUCCCCUCGUGCCUCCAGAGGUGCUUUCCCCUCAUGUCUCACCACCCCUCAGGGAACCUCUAAAAUGGGGUGCAGGGACUGGCCGGAAUUACUGUAGGAGUAGUAGGCGCUUCUCCUCUGGACAUCCCCUGCAGAGAGGUAUGGACCCAGGCUCUCAUUCAAGGAAGAACAGCAGAGCCUUCAGCCCCUCAAAACAUGUAGGAGGAGAUCAGGGCAUCCCUGUGUUGUUAGUGCAGAGGACAAACUGUGUUUAGUUUUAGGGGAAGUUUGGGAUGUACCCCAAAGUCCUCCACCAUCUCACCUUUAUGUCCCUUUCCCUAGAUAUAUUGCAGGAUCUCCCCUUAGGAGAAAGAGUUGCUGUUGGGGUUAUAUAUUUUUGCUCAACAUAUUUGGAAACUAAAGUUUCUGGAGGAAAAAAAA
Molecule: long non-coding RNA, 1101 nt
Filed under: Homo sapiens (human)
Lineage: Eukaryota; Metazoa; Chordata; Mammalia; Primates; Hominidae
Description: PREDICTED lncRNA (TCONS_00009254)
Source: RNAcentral